CCGCCUACGGGAGGCAGCAGCCUACGGGAGGCAGCAGUGGGGAAUAUUGCACAAUGGGCGCAAGCCUGAUGCAGCGACGCCGCGUGGGGGAUGACGGCCUUCGGGUUGUAAACUCCUUUCGCCAGGGACGAAAAAGUUGCGACCAAUAAUCGCGUUUUGUGACGGUACCUGGAUAAGAAGCACCGGCUAACUACGUGCCAGCAGCCGCGGUAAU
Molecule: ribosomal RNA, 214 nt
Filed under: uncultured bacterium
Lineage: Bacteria
Description: partial 16S ribosomal RNA
Rfam family: Bacterial small subunit ribosomal RNA
Source: RNAcentral